Molecule: ribosomal RNA, 500 nt
Filed under: uncultured Lachnospiraceae bacterium
Lineage: Bacteria; Bacillati; Bacillota; Clostridia; Lachnospirales; Lachnospiraceae
Description: partial 16S ribosomal RNA
Source: RNAcentral
CACGUAGUUGGCCGGGGCUUCUUAGUCAGGUACCGUCUUUUUUCUUCCCUGCUGAUAGAGCUUUACAUACCGAAAUACUUCUUCACUCACGCGGCGUCGCUGCAUCAGGGUUUCCCCCAUUGUGCAAUAUUCCCCACUGCUGCCUCCCGUAGGAGUUUGGGCCGUGUCUCAGUCCCAAUGUGGCCGUUCACCCUCUCAGGCCGGCUACUGAUCGUCGCCUUGGUAGGCCGUUACCCCACCAACCAGCUAAUCAGACGCGGGCUCAUCUUAUACUACCGGAGUUUUUCACACAGAAACAUGCGUCCCCGUGCGCUUAUGCGGUAUUAGCAGUCAUUUCUAACUGUUAUCCCCCUGUAUAAGGCAGAUUACCCACGUGUUACUCACCCGUCCGCCGCUAAGUCAAUUUCGAUUCCAUCCGAAAACUUCCUCAAAAUCGCUUCGCUCGACUUGCAUGUGUUAGGCACGCCGCCAGCGUUCAUCCUGAGCCAGGAUCAAACUCU